CAGUCGCCGCGGUAAUACGAAGGGGGCUAGCGUUACUCGGAAUUACUGGGCGUAAAGGGCGCGUAGGCGGCACGAUUAGUCAGGCGUGAAAUUCCUGGGCUCAACCUGGGGACUGCGCUUGAUACGGUCGAGCUAGAGGAUGGAAGAGGGUUGUGGAAUUCCCAGUGUAGAGGUGAAAUUCGUAGAUAUUGGGAAGAACACCGGUGGCGAAGGCGGCAACCUGGUCCAUUACUGACGCUGAGGCGCGACAGCGUGGGGAGCAAACAGGAUUAGAUACCCCCGUAGUCCCUGUCUCUUAUAU
This 301-nucleotide ribosomal RNA is filed under the name uncultured bacterium. RNAcentral describes it as "partial 16S ribosomal RNA". It matches the Rfam family "Bacterial small subunit ribosomal RNA", at positions 509 to 809 of the family's 1533-position model. The record is from RNAcentral.